GGCUCAGAUCUGCUAUUGAAAAAUAAAGUAUUGCAAGUUCCUCUACACCUUUAACUAUGAGGUGGCUGCAAGUGGUUGCCUACGAUGUAACAGACCAUCCAAGCUUGCCCUACAACUACAAUCAUAAGAACAGAAAUACAUCACCUCCAUCUCUCUCUAGACUCUUUAAGCACAUCUCACACAGGCAGUCAUCAUAGCCUCUUUAUGAAUAAAGCACUGCUGGUUUUAGGUUGGAUACAGACCGGCAGUAUCGGACCCACUCUUGAGCCGAGCCU
RNAcentral lists this long non-coding RNA (275 nucleotides) under Elaeis guineensis (African oil palm). RNAcentral describes it as "long non-coding RNA (EGUI_LNC046884)". The record is from RNAcentral. Lineage: Eukaryota; Viridiplantae; Streptophyta; Magnoliopsida; Arecales; Arecaceae.